GAGCACCCAUUGUGACAUCCCCGGCGUUAUUCUUCAUUUGGAUACUGCUAAAUUAUACGAGGAAUCACGUCAUAUCAUCUGAUCGGGUGAACUAUGGCGCUGGCUCCGCUCUGGGCCCUUGGAAUGGUCCUAACUUUUCCCACCAUACGGCGCCCCUGAUCACUGGUGCCGAUAGGAUUGGCAGGGAAACAGCAAGAUGGCUUGCCGAGAAAAGAGUUAAUUGCCACAGAAGAACAACUAGACAUACUCAUCAACAAUGCAGGUGGUAUGAUGUGCCCCAAGUGGACCACUGAGGAUGGCUUUGACACACAGCUGUCUAUCAAUCACUUGGAACACUUUCUCAUGACCAAUUUACUAUUAGGGGUGCUUAAGAAAUCCUCUCCCAACUGUGUAGUGACUGUGUCCAGCAUUGCUCAUGUUAGCAGUCCUUUUGAUUAAAAAUAAGCAUGCCCAAAACACAAAAAAUACAAACCAGACAGAAUG
This is a long non-coding RNA of Xyrauchen texanus (razorback sucker), 483 nucleotides long. RefSeq lists it as uncharacterized. The transcript is spliced from 3 exons. Lineage: Eukaryota; Metazoa; Chordata; Actinopteri; Cypriniformes; Catostomidae. The record is from RefSeq and is a predicted model, not a curated record.